Molecule: ribosomal RNA, 427 nt
Filed under: uncultured bacterium
Lineage: Bacteria
Description: bacterial SSU rRNA
Rfam family: Bacterial small subunit ribosomal RNA
Source: RNAcentral
UGGGGAAUUUUGGACAAUGGGCGCAAGCCUGAUCCAGCCAUGCCGCGUGCAGGAUGAAGGCCUUCGGGUUGUAAACUGCUUUUGCACGGAACGAAAAGGUGCCUUCUAAUAAAGGGCGCUCAUGACGGUACCGUAAGAAUAAGCACCGGCUAACUACGUGCCAGCAGCCGCGGUAAUACGUAGGGUGCGAGCGUUAAUCGGAAUUACUGGGCGUAAAGCGUGCGCAGGCGGUUUUGUAAGACAGAGGUGAAAUCCCCGGGCUCAACCUGGGAACUGCCUUUGUGACUGCAAGGCUGGAGUGCGGCAGAGGGGGAUGGAAUUCCGCGUGUAGCAGUGAAAUGCGUAGAUAUGCGGAGGAACACCGAUGGCGAAGGCAAUCCCCUGGGCCUGCACUGACGCUCAUGCACGAAAGCGUGGGGAGCAAACA